GGCCUUUACUGACGCUAAAGCUCGAAGGUGCGGGUAUCGAACAGGAUUAGAUACCCUGGUAGUCCGCACGGUAAACGAUGGAUGCCCGCUGUUUGCGAUAUACUGUGAGCGGCCAAGAGAAAUCGUUAAGCAUCCCACCUGGGGAGUACGCCGGCAACGGUGAAACUCAAAGGAAUUGACGGGGGCCCGCACAAGCGGAGGAACAUGUGGUUUAAUUCGAUGAUACGCGAGGAACCUUACCCGGGCUUGAACUGCAGCGGAAGGAUACAGAGAUGUUGACGUCCUUCGGGACCGCUGUGGAGGUGCUGCAUGGUUGUCGUCAGCUCGUGCCGUGAGGUGUCGGCUUAAGUGCCAUAACGAGCGCAACCCCUUUCAUUAGUUGCCAUCACUUCGGGUGGGCACUCUGGUGAUACUGCCACCGUAAGGUGUGAGGAAGGUGGGGAUGACGUCAAAUCAGCACGGCCCUUACGUCCGGGGCUACACACGUGUUACAAUGGGUGAUACAGAUGGCAGGUUCACGGCAACGUGGAUCAAAUCUUGAAAGUCAUCCUCAGUUCGGAUUGGGGUCUGCAACCCGACCCCAUGAAGCUGGAUUCGCUAG
This 601-nucleotide ribosomal RNA is filed under the name uncultured bacterium. Its description in RNAcentral is "bacterial SSU rRNA". It matches the Rfam family "Bacterial small subunit ribosomal RNA", at positions 732 to 1338 of the family's 1533-position model. The record is from RNAcentral.